UUAAGAAUCUUGGACAAUGGACGCAAGUCUGAUCCAGCGACGCCGCGUGAACGAUGAAGGUCCUCGGAUUGUAAAGUUCAGUAAGGUGGGAAGAAAAAGCACACGGUAAUAUUGUGUGUAUUGACGGUACCAUCCUAAAGCUUCGGCUAAAUACGUGCCAGCAGCCGCGGUAAUACGUAUGAAGCAAGCGUUGUUCGGAAUUAUUGGGCGUAAAGGGCAUCUAGGCGGGAUGUUAAGUCAGGUGUGAAAGCUAAGGGCUCAACCCUUAAACUGCAUUUGAUACUGACAUUCUUGAGUUCGGAAGAGGAAGGCGGAAUACCCGGUGUAGCGGUGAAAUGCGUAGAUAUCGGGUAGAACACCGGUGGCGAAGGCGGCCUUCUGGUCUAGAACUGACGCUGACAUGCGAAAGUGUGGGGAUCAAACGGG
Molecule: ribosomal RNA, 426 nt
Filed under: uncultured bacterium
Lineage: Bacteria
Description: bacterial SSU rRNA
Rfam family: Bacterial small subunit ribosomal RNA
Source: RNAcentral